GAUGAAGAACGCAGCGAAAUGCGAUAAGUAAUGCGAAUUGCAGAAUUCCAGUGAGUCAUCGAAUCUUUGAACGCACAUUGCGCCCUUUGGUAUUCCGAAGGGCAUGCCUGUUCGAGCGUCAUUGCAACCCCUCAAGCACAGCUUGUGUGUUGGGCUCUCGUCCCCUGUGGACGGGCCUGAAAUGCAGUGGCAGCACCGAGAUACCGGUGUCUGAGUGUAUGGGCAUUGAUCAUCACUCGAUAGACCCGAUCGGCGCUGACCGUCAAACCACGAUUCCUCGGAAUCAUCCAGUUUUGACCUCGGAUCAGGUAGGAAUACCCGCUGAACUUAAGCAUAUCAAUAAGCGGAGGA
RNAcentral lists this unclassified non-coding RNA (351 nucleotides) under soil metagenome. RNAcentral describes it as "partial contains 5.8S ribosomal RNA, internal transcribed spacer 2, and large subunit ribosomal RNA". The stretch from base 1 to 121 matches the Rfam family "5.8S ribosomal RNA", at positions 35 to 154 of the family's 154-position model. The record is from RNAcentral.